RNAcentral lists this ribosomal RNA (550 nucleotides) under uncultured beta proteobacterium. RNAcentral describes it as "bacterial SSU rRNA". It matches the Rfam family "Bacterial small subunit ribosomal RNA", at positions 39 to 584 of the family's 1533-position model. Lineage: Bacteria; Pseudomonadati; Pseudomonadota; Betaproteobacteria. The record is from RNAcentral.
GCGGCAUGCCUUACACAUGCAAGUCGAACGGCAGCACGGGGGCAACCCUGGUGGCGAGUGGCGAACGGGUGAGUAAUAUAUCGGAACGUACCUUUGAGUGGGGGAUAACUAGUCGAAAGAUUAGCUAAUACCGCAUACGAUCUACGGAUGAAAGUGGGGGCUCGCAAGACCUCAUGCUCAUAGAGCGGCCGAUAUCUGAUUAGCUAGUUGGUGAGGUAAAGGCUCACCAAGGCAUCGAUCAGUAGCUGGUCUGAGAGGACGACCAGCCACACUGGGACUGAGACACGGCCCAGACUCCUACGGGAGGCAGCAGUGGGGAAUUUUGGACAAUGGGGGCAACCCUGAUCCAGCAAUGCCGCGUGAGUGAAGAAGGCCUUCGGGUUGUAAAGCUCUUUUGUCAGGGAAGAAACGGGAUGUCCUAAUACGAUGUUCUAAUGACGGUACCUGAAGAAUAAGCACCGGCUAACUACGUGCCAGCAGCCGCGGUAAUACGUAGGGUGCAAGCGUUAAUCGGAAUUACUGGGCGUAAAGCGUGCGCAGGCGGUUAUGU